RNAcentral lists this ribosomal RNA (443 nucleotides) under uncultured archaeon. RNAcentral's name for it is "bacterial SSU rRNA". It matches the Rfam family "Archaeal small subunit ribosomal RNA", at positions 15 to 463 of the family's 1478-position model. The record is from RNAcentral.
CGCCGGACCUGACUGCUAUCGGAUUGAUACUAAGUCAUGCGAGUCAUUGUAGCAAUACAAGGCAUACGGCUCAGUAACGCGUAGUCAACCUAACGUAUGGACGGGAAUAACCUCGGGAAACUGAGAAUAAUGCCCGAUAGAACAUUAUGCCUGGAAUGGUUUAUGUUCCAAAUGAUUUAUCGCCGUAGGAUGGGACUGCGGCCUAUCAGUUUGUUGGUGAGGUAAUGGCCCACCAAGACUAUUACAGGUACGGGCUCUGAGAGGAGUAGCCCGGAGAUGGGUACUGAGACACGGACCCAGGCCCUAUGGGGCGCAGCAGGCGAGAAAACUUUGCAAUGUGCGAAAGCACGACAAGGUUAAUCCGAGUGGUUUCUGCUAAAGAAACCUUUUGUCAGUCCUAGAAACACUGAUGAAUAAGGGGUGGGCAAGUUCUGGUGUCAGCC